This 308-nucleotide signal recognition particle RNA is filed under the name Vitis vinifera (wine grape). RNAcentral describes it as "Plant signal recognition particle RNA". It matches the Rfam family "Plant signal recognition particle RNA". The record is from Rfam by way of RNAcentral. Lineage: Eukaryota; Viridiplantae; Streptophyta; Magnoliopsida; Vitales; Vitaceae.
GCCGGGCCAGGUAACGUGGGCUUGUGACUCAAGUGAGGGCAUGACUGUGGUUGAAGAUUGGCUUGGUUGGAGAGGUAGGGUUCGCUGGGUUUUGAGAUUCUGGCUUGCCCGUUCCAAGUGGGGAGUUUGAACCUUGUGUCCCAACCGAAGGGUUGGGGAACGUGGUUCCUAGAGUGGAGGGCACCGCGUGAGGCUGGGCUCACAGAGCAGCGUUCACCUCCCGCUCCCCUCGGUGGAAGGACAACGAGCCGGUACUCCACGGGCCCAACGAUACCUCCUCAGCCGCUCUCAACCCGACAACCACUUUU